CAGCUGCUAACAACGGGCACCAAGUCCAAGUACCCCAGGUUGGUAGCGUACUCCCAGACCACCAGCCCUACUUCCAGCCCAUAUCCUGCAGCCGUCAUCCGGGGGAAGCAAUCCUUGUGGAAAUGCAACCAGACCACUGCCUCUGCAGGUGGUAGCUAUAGCUACUGAAGACCAGGAAAGAAUCUUCUCGCCCCUGAAGUCCUUGAGAACUGUUUAACAGUUCAACAACAAAGAUGGAGACAGUUUUUAUCAAUGAAAAUGACUCUGGGGAUAUUGGAAAUUAAACUUCUAACUUUUUGAGACGCAGUCUGGCCUUCCAUUGGCUUCGCAUUCCCUGUAGGAGGGUCCAAACAUCCUGGCAAUAAGAACCGUUUAAUCCCGUGCCCUUCCUGCAUCAUACUAGAGAUUGUACCCGGCAAGAGGAACAUUCCCCUAACAAGGCCUGUCACUUUCAAUUUGGAGCAAGGCCCUGGAAUCCAGAAGGGAAAGCACCAUCUAGAGAAAGGAUGGACACAGGGAAACGGGAAAUAUUCCUAAACGGAUUUUGGCAUGGUCUCACUGUACCUACCAACGGCUCCACAGUCCCUGGUUUCAAAAACAUGGCGAAUGAGGGAGGAUUGGAAUGAUUUCCUCGGAGAGCCCCGGCUUUAUUACUGUUGAAUCAUUUGUGUCCUUGCAAUUAUUUGCAUGCUGGGAUGCCUGUGAAUGACACUGUCCUCACCCUAUUUCUCCACUGAUGUAGAGCCUAUAAUAAAAGCAGGCCUCAGCUUUUCUAAUUACAAGUCUUCAUUUGUCCAGGCAUAGAGGGAAUGACUUUUAAAAUGUGAGUGUGGCUGAGCAAUGCGAAGAGGACCCUGGAGAAGCAAAUCAACCAAGUUUAAGAAUUGUGAGCCUCGGCGUUUCCCCGGGCAUUUUCUCUUUGACGAAAUAAUUCUCCAAAGCAUAGGCACCAGAGAAGACAACAAGGUCUUUCU
Phascolarctos cinereus (koala) is the source of this 974-nucleotide long non-coding RNA. RefSeq lists it as uncharacterized. The record is from RefSeq and is a predicted model, not a curated record. Lineage: Eukaryota; Metazoa; Chordata; Mammalia; Diprotodontia; Phascolarctidae.